This 528-nucleotide ribosomal RNA is filed under the name Rhipicephalus evertsi evertsi. RNAcentral's name for it is "SSU rRNA". It matches the Rfam family "Eukaryotic small subunit ribosomal RNA", at positions 56 to 576 of the family's 1831-position model. Lineage: Eukaryota; Metazoa; Arthropoda; Arachnida; Ixodida; Ixodidae. The record is from RNAcentral.
GGUCUAGUACAUGCCGAAAUAAGGCGAAACCGCGAAUGGCUCAUUAAAUCAGUUAUGGUUCCUUAGAUCGUUUCUUCCUACUUGGAUAACUGUGGCAAUUCUAGAGCUAAUACAUGCAGUGAGCCUGGAGCCCUUUGGGUAACGGGUGCUUUUAUUAGACCAAGAUCGAUCGGGUUUCGGCCCGUAUUGUGUGGUGACUCUGGAUAACUUUGUGCUGAUCGCAUGGCCACGAGCCGGCGACGUUUCUUUCAAGUGUCUGCCUUAUCAACUUUCGAUGGUAGGUUACUUGCUUACCAUGGUUGUUACGGGUAACGGAGAAUCAGGGUUCGAUUCCGGAGAGGGAGCCUGAGAAACGGCUACCACAUCCAAGGAAGGCAGCAGGCGCGCAAAUUACCCACUCCCGGCACGGGGAGGUAGUGACGAAAAAUAACAAUACGGGACUCUUUUGAGGCCCCGUAAUUGAAAUGAGUACACUCUAAAUCCUUUAACGAGGAUCAAUUGGAGGGCAAGUCUGGCCCCAGCCAGCCA